Molecule: ribosomal RNA, 1480 nt
Filed under: metagenome
Description: bacterial SSU rRNA
Rfam family: Bacterial small subunit ribosomal RNA
Source: RNAcentral
CGUUGGCGGCGUGGUUUAGGCAUGCAAGUCGAACGCGAAAGCAUCCUUCGGGGUGUGAUUAGAGUGGCGAACUGGUGAGUAACAGGUGGGUAAUGUGCCCCGCAGUGUGGGAUAACUGCUGGAAACAGCAGCUAAUACCUCAUGUGGCCGUGUGGAUGUUGGUCCGUACGGUUGAAGAUGCGCUUCGCGCGUGUCGCUGCGGGAUCAGCCCGCCCCCGAUUAGCUUGUUGGUGAGGUAAAAGCUCACCAAGGCUACGAUCGGUAGCUGGUCUUAGAGGAUGGUCAGCCACACCGGGAUUGAGAUACUGCCCGGACUCCUACGGGAGGCAGCAGUCUAGAAGCUUCUACAAUGCGCGAAAGCGUGAUAGAGCGACGCCGCGUGCGGGAUUGAAGGCCGUGAGGUCGUAAACCGCUGUCAGCAGGAAAGAAUGCCUGGAUGGUGAAUCCAGGAGAGACGGUACCUGCAAAGGAAGUCCUGGCUAACUCCGUGCCAGCAGCCGCGGUAAUACGGAGAGGGCAAACGUUGUUCGGAAUUACUGGGCGUAAAGAGUACGUAGGCGGCUUGGUCAGUCUGAUGUGAAAUACCCUCGCUCAACGAGGGAACUGCAUUGGAUACUGCCGAGCUUGAGGAUGGGAGAGGCAGGUGGAAUUCCUGGUGUAGCGGUGGAAUGCGUAGAUAUCAGGAAGAACACUCGUGGCGAAGGCGGCCUGCUGGCCCAUUUCUGACGCUGAGGUACGAAAGCCAGGGGAGCGAACGGGAUUAGAUACCCCGGUAGUCCUGGCCGUAAACGGUGGACACUGGGUGUCGGGGGUAUCGACCCCCUCGGUGCCGCAGCCAACGCGUUAAGUGUCCCGCCUGGGGAGUACGACCGCAAGGUUGAAACUCAAAGGAAUUGACGGGUCCCCGCACAAGCGGUGGAGGAUGUGGUUUAAUUCGAAGCAACGCGAAGAACCUUACCAAGGCUUGAACCGCAGGGUAAACUCAUUGAAAGAUGAGGUGCUUCGGCAAUCCUGUAGAGGUGCUGCAUGGCUGUCGUCAGCUCGUGUCGUGAGAUGUUGGGUUAAGUCCCUCAACGAGCGCAACCCUUGCCCUUAGUUACCAGCAUUUCGGAUGGGGACUCUAAGGGGACUGCCGCCGUAAGGCGGAGGAAGGUGGGGAUGACGUCAAGUCCUCAUGGCCCUUAUGUCUUGGGCUACACACGUCCUACAAUGGCCGGUACAGCGAGCAGCAAAACCGCGAGGUUGAGCGAAUCUCUCAAAGCCGGUCCCAGUUCAGAUUGCAGUCUGCAACUCGACUGCAUGAAGUCGGAAUCGCUAGUAAUCGCGGAUCAGCACGCCGCGGUGAAUACGUUCCCGGGGAUUGUACACACCGCCCGUCAAAUCACGAAAGUCGGCGGUACCAGAAGUCGCUGAGCUAACCUUCACGGGAGGCAGGUGCCUAAGGUAUGGCCGGUAAUUGGGAUUAAGUCGUAACAAGGUA